UACAGAGGUCCCAAGCGUUAUUCGGAAUUACUGGGCGUAAAGCGUACGCAGGCGGCUUUGCAAGACAGGUGUGAAAUCCCCGGGCCUAACCUGGGAACUGCAUUUGUGACUGCAUCGCUAGAGUCUGUCAGAGGGGGGUGGAAUUCCACGUGUAGCAGUGAAAUGCGUAGGGAUGUGGAAGAACACCGAUGGCGAAGGCAGCCCCCUGGGAUGAGACUGACGCUCAUGUACGAAAGCGUGGGGAGCAAACAGG
RNAcentral lists this ribosomal RNA (253 nucleotides) under uncultured bacterium. Its description in RNAcentral is "partial 16S ribosomal RNA". It matches the Rfam family "Bacterial small subunit ribosomal RNA", at positions 524 to 776 of the family's 1533-position model. The record is from RNAcentral.